Long non-coding RNA from Dreissena polymorpha, 1051 nucleotides. RefSeq lists it as uncharacterized. Lineage: Eukaryota; Metazoa; Mollusca; Bivalvia; Myida; Dreissenidae. The transcript is spliced from 5 exons. The record is from RefSeq and is a predicted model, not a curated record.
GUGACACCUAACCGAUGAAGAAAGACUAAGAUUGAAGCAUUUAUUUGAUAAUAAAUACGAAAUAAUAAGUGAAUGCCACAUCUGGAAGGGGGCGUACACUCCAAGCGUCUAUGGUGUUCUGCGGUGUAGUUUCCGCGGCAAAAGGCUAAGGCUUAAAGCUCACCAUGCACUAUAUUAUCUUGAAAAUAAACAUGCCAUGUCAUCAAAAAUGCAUGUGUCACAUUUAUGCCACAGUAAACUUUGUGUCAACAUCAAGCACUUAAGUUAUGGGCCUCAAAGCAUUAACAAAAGGAAAAUAUGUGCUCAUGAAGGUUCCUUAUGCACUUGAAAAUGUUUUCAAGCUGUGUCUUGUUUACAAUGAUGUUCUCAUAGUCAGAUAUAUUUGCCCACUGUUUCCAAUUGUAGCACUUUGAUUUUCAGACUGUGGUACUGUUUGAUGUGGUCGCAGUUUAAUAGGGAGAACGAGUGGACCCCGAGAACGAUUACACGCAUUCAAGACAUCGUUAGCCACAGAAUCACCCAAUCGCACGACACUUUCCAGACUGUGGUACUGUUUGAUGUGGUCGCAGUUUAAUAGGGAGAACGAGUGGACCCCGAGAACGAUUACACGCAUUCAAGACAUCGUUAGCCACAGAAUCACCCAAUCGCACGACACUUUCCAGACUGUGGUACUGUUUGAUGUGGUCGCAGUUUAAUAGGGAGAACGAGUGGACCCCGAGAACGAUUACACGCAUUCAAGACAUCGUUAGCCACAGAAUCACCCAAUCGCACGACACUUUCCAGACUGUGGUACUGUUUGAUGUGGUCGCAGUUUAAUAGGGAGAACGAGUGGACCCCGAGAACGAUUACACGCAUUCAAGACAUCGUUAGCCACAGAAUCACCCAAUCGCACGACACUUUCCAGGUCAGGGUCUGAAUUCAACGGAAUAGAAUCUUGAACUUGUUUCUCUACACAGGGCACAUGCCUGCAGAAACUUAAUAGUUUGGAAAUACUCCUUUUUUGAAAAGUACACCUUUGUUUUUCCUAGCGUGAUUGUUUUUAUAACUGUGC